UCGUGGAGCAGCUCGGCAAUCCUUGAAUCAAAACCUCCCCCCAUAAAUCACUGCUUACAAUACAUCCUAGUCUACACAGGGCCUAAGAAAUUAUUUACACAUUCUAGUCUAAGCAGGGCCUAAGGAAAAUUAUUUAUACAUCCUAGUCUAAACAGGGCCUAAAAAAAUAUUUUCAUUAAAAGCUUAUAAUUCACACCCAACUGCUGCCGAAAAGUUUACCUAAGCAACGAAAUAAAGGCUUUUUUCAAGUCGAGAGACGUAUCAAAAAUACGAAAAGCCAAACAAAAAAAGUAUUAAAAAGUAUCAAAAUAUUUGAAGAAAAGAAAAUAAGAGGAUUUUAAAGAUGAAUAACAAUUUAAUGGACAUAGCCUUUUGUAGAAAUUUUGACAGCGGACAAUGGACAAAUCCAAGAUUUUGGAUGAGAAGACAAAAUAAUUUCGGACAAAUUUAUUUGCCAGCAUUGCUUCCUGUUGAAGGUGAAGACAGGCCACUAAAUGUUCCAGGAACGUUUGUCUUC
Long non-coding RNA from Episyrphus balteatus (marmalade hoverfly), 517 nucleotides. RefSeq lists it as uncharacterized. The transcript is spliced from 3 exons. NCBI's taxonomy places the organism in Eukaryota, Metazoa, Arthropoda, Insecta, Diptera, Syrphidae. The record is from RefSeq and is a predicted model, not a curated record.